AUGGCGCAGCCGCACAGGCGCGUGCUCCGCGUGGCUCCGCCGGGCUCCGCAGGAGGGGGCGGGGACGGGGAGGCGUUCCCCACGGUGCAGGCCGCGGUGGACGCCGUGCCGCUGGGCAACAGGGAGCGUACCGUCAUCCGCCUCGCCCCGGGGGUGUACCGGGAGCCCGUCUACGUCCCCAAGACCAAGAACUUCAUCACCCUCGCCGGCGCGUCCGCCGAGGCCACCGUCAUCUCCUGGGACAACACCGCCACCCGCAUCAAGCACGCCCAGACAUCCAGGGUCAUUGGGACAGGAACAUUUGGCUGUGGAACGGUUAUCGUCGAGGGAGAGGAUUUCAUUGCAGAGAAUAUCACGUUUCAGAACUCAGCUCCUCAGGGAUCCGGGCAAGCAGUCGCAGUCCGGGUAACAGCAGAUAAGUGUGCCUUCUAUGGUUGCCGGUUCCUUGGUUGGCAGGAUACAUUAUAUUUACAUUAUGGAAAACAAUACUUGAGAGACUGUUACAUUGAGGGUAACUGUGACUUCAUCUUUGGUAACUCUAUUGCCCUUCUGGAACAUUGCCAUAUACAUUGCAAAUCAGCGGGAUUUAUUACUGCCCAUAGUCGGAAAUCCUCUUCAGAGUCGACUGGCUACGUGUUCCUAAGGUGUAUUAUUACAGGAAACGGAGAAGCUGGAUAUAUAUUCCUGGGUCGGCCAUGGGGGCCCUUUGGGAGGGUUGUCUUUGCGCACACUUUUAUGGAUCGCUGUGUUAAGGCCACUGGGUGGCAUAAUUGGGACAAAUCUGAGAAUGAAAGAACCGCUUGCUUCUAUGAGUACAGGUGCUCAGGGCCCGGUUCCCGGUCAUCAAGCAGGGUGUCUUGGUGUAGAGAAUUGCUUGACCUUGAAGCAGAACAGUUCCUUACACACUCCUUCGUUGAUCCAGACCUUGAUAGACCAUGGCUUCUCCAGAUGAUGGCGAUAAAGAUACCAGCUUCAGCGUAG
Molecule: ribosomal RNA, 981 nt
Filed under: Triticum aestivum (bread wheat)
Lineage: Eukaryota; Viridiplantae; Streptophyta; Magnoliopsida; Poales; Poaceae
Description: partial small subunit ribosomal RNA
Source: RNAcentral